RNAcentral lists this ribosomal RNA (782 nucleotides) under Rhizophagus intraradices. RNAcentral's name for it is "eukaryotic LSU rRNA". It matches the Rfam family "Eukaryotic large subunit ribosomal RNA", at positions 38 to 668 of the family's 3401-position model. The record is from RNAcentral. Lineage: Eukaryota; Fungi; Glomeromycota; Glomeromycetes; Glomerales; Glomeraceae.
GCAUAUCAAUAAGCGGAGGAAAAGAAAAUAACAAUGAUUCCCCUAGUAACUGCGAGUGAAGAGGGACAAGCUCAAAUUUUAAAUCUAUCGGGUUUUACCUGAUCGAGUUGUAAUUUGAAGAAGCGUUUUCUGCGUAUUUGGUCAGCCUAAGUCCUAUUGAAUGAGGCAUCAUGGAGGGUGAUAAUCCCGUCCGGUUGAUCAUUUGCGUUUUACGAUACGCUUUCUAAGAGUCAAGUUGUUUGGGAUUGCAGCUUAAAAUGGGAGGUAAAUUUCUCCUAAGGCUAAAUAACGGCGAGAGACCGAUAGCGAACAAGUACCGUGAGGGAAAGAUGAAAAGAACUUUGAAAAGAGAGUUAAACAGUACGUGAAAUUGUUGAAAGGGAAACGAUUGAAGCCAGUCGUACCUUCGGGUAAUCAGCCUUUCGGGUGCGAUUCUGUGGAGUGUGAGGAGCUUAAACACCUUCAUGUUUUGCAUAUUCGUACUCUUGGGUGUACUUGCCCGUGUGGUUGGUUAACAUCAAUUUUGGUGGUCAUAAAAUGACUGGAGGAAUGUAGCUUCGAUCUUGUAUUGAAGUGUUAUAGCCUUCGGUAGAUGUGAUGAUCGAGAUUGAGGAUUGCAACGGAUACCCUUCGGGGCUACCUGUCUGGUCUCUGAUCGUUGCUCUGGUGCCGAAAGCUUGCUUACGGUUAUCAAAGUCGAUGGUCAAUAGGUUAGAAUGGGUUAAAUUCGUUAAGGAUGUUGACGUAAUGGCUUUAAACGACCCGUCUUGAAACACGAACCA